RNAcentral lists this unclassified non-coding RNA (377 nucleotides) under Zea mays. Its description in RNAcentral is "misc RNA Zm00001eb252810". The record is from RNAcentral. Lineage: Eukaryota; Viridiplantae; Streptophyta; Magnoliopsida; Poales; Poaceae.
GCAGGAGCUUCUGCAGCGCGGCGCGGCCGCCCUUGAAGGGCGCGGCGGCGUGCGCGGCGGGCUCGCCCCGGCGGCCCACCCCGAUGAGGAGCUCCUCCACGACGUCCCCCGUCUGCACCGUCUCGCUGCUCCCGGGCCCCCACUCCUCGGCCCGCGACCCGCCCGCGACGCACUCGAUCGCGACCACGCCUUGCCUCCUCCCGCUCUCCAUGGGCAUGCCCCCAGGCUCCUCUACGCCUCUUCGGCUCUCCCUCCCUCCUCACGAGUCGCGCUGCGUGGCUGUGAAUCAAGCAAGUAUCUGGGCAGCUCGCGCUGUUGACUUGUACAGGGCGCUGUCCUGUCACGCCGCCCUAACACCAACGCAAGGCAACACAGCA